GAAUUUUAUAAAUAUGUGUAUUAAGGAGAAAGAAGAAAAUAUAUAAUAUAGAUAUUUAUUUAAUUGGGAGGAUUAUUAAAUUUAAUAAACUUUAAUAAAAAAUUACAAAUAUAUUUGAUUUAAGGAAUAAAUAAAGUAGUUAAUUUUUAAAAGAAAAAUUACCUUAGGGAUAACAGCGUAAAAAUAUUGGAUAGAUCGUAUAAAAAAUAUUGUUUGC
RNAcentral lists this ribosomal RNA (217 nucleotides) under Discothyrea denticulata. Its description in RNAcentral is "partial large subunit ribosomal RNA". The record is from RNAcentral. Lineage: Eukaryota; Metazoa; Arthropoda; Insecta; Hymenoptera; Formicidae.